Long non-coding RNA from Alosa sapidissima (American shad), 1139 nucleotides. RefSeq lists it as uncharacterized. Lineage: Eukaryota; Metazoa; Chordata; Actinopteri; Clupeiformes; Clupeidae. The transcript has 2 exons. The record is from RefSeq and is a predicted model, not a curated record.
GGCAUACAGCACCAGACGUUGCCAGCUGAGUGGAAACCCUGAAACUUUGACGUCUCAUUAUACACAAAGUUACCACAUCCUUUCUGAACAUCUUUAUUCAAAAAGCUGAUAUAAAAUGGUUUGCUAAGCUAUUAAUUGAAGCCUACUAACCGACACUUUCAGAAGACUUCGUUCCAGUUUUUUCAGGUAAGUGACAUUCAUUCCACUACUAUUUCACGUAGCACUAGAUGUUAGCAUUAUUUAGCAUCGAGUGGGCACUAACGUUAGGCUACGUUAGCGUCAUAUCGCCUCAAAUAAGUUAAUGUCGAAAAUGAUGACCGAAUGGCAGAAGCACACACAUACAUUUAGUUAACUUGAAUAAAGUUAACGUUAGUGAAAACCAUUGUGCUCCCGUUAUGAGUUAGUUUAACGUUGGUCAUACUAGGCAGGUGUGAGUCAAUGAACAGACAGCUCUAAAGUUAACGUUAGUUCACAAACAUACUGGGGCAACAAAGCAUGUUCUCGUCAAAAAACCUUUUGUAAAUACGCUCUGUGGGAAUGCUUAGUCCAUUGACAAUUUAUACAGUCUUUGGGUUGUCACGUUUAAGAUAAAAAAAAAAAACUUCAGCCGAAGCAUUAAAAGGCUUGUUGUCGGCUAGCUGAGGCAAAAUUGUGAACCGCUAUGAACCAUUGACCGUAUACUUUGAACAUGGAGCUGUGAUAACAAGCGAUAGUUAUAACUGACGUUUGAAACUCUUAUUGAUGCCAUUUAUUUGUUAAACACAAAUUUGAACGAACACUUCUUGUCUAUGCAAAGUUUCCCUGUAGGUAAUCCAGACAGCCUGGGUGCUGGAGAGGGCUCUGGACUCCUAACUUCAAUUCUUGUCUGUGCAGUCGACACUCAGAAGCAUCACUUCAGCACUGAUCUGGAACAUUUUGAAAUCCUACCAGAUGGGGCAGAAGUCAUUGAGCAGUGGCAGCUUCUGAUUUCAAGGACUUUGUUCACCUUUAUUUACAGCAUUUGCAUCUGUAUCUUUAAAGUGAUCUAAUAUGUAUUGACUAUGUACUAGCUUAGUACAUAUUAGUUUUUGUUAUUUUAGUUUCACAAAUUCAGUGGUUACCUGUAAUGCUCAAGAUAUACAAGUAAAAAAUCACCUUUA